Molecule: transfer RNA, 64 nt
Filed under: Stenus boops
Lineage: Eukaryota; Metazoa; Arthropoda; Insecta; Coleoptera; Staphylinidae
Description: tRNA-Val
Source: RNAcentral
CAAAUUAGAGCUUGAAUAAGUUUUUUAUUUACAUUAAAAAGAUAAUUUUUAUAAUUUAAUUUGA